CAGUCGCCGCGGUAAUACGUAGGGUGCAAGCGUUAUCCGGAAUUAUUGGGCGUAAAGAGCUCGUAGGCGGUUUGUCGCGUCUGCUGUGAAAACUGGAGGCUCAACCUCCAGCCUGCAGUGGGUACGGGCAGACUAGAGUGCGGUAGGGGAGAUUGGAAUUCCUGGUGUAGCGGUGGAAUGCGCAGAUAUCAGGAGGAACACCGAUGGCGAAGGCAGAUCUCUGGGCCGUGACUGACGCUGAGGAGCGAAAGCGUGGGGAGCGAACAGGAUUAGAUACCCCUGUAGUCCCUGUCUCUUAUAC
Molecule: ribosomal RNA, 301 nt
Filed under: uncultured bacterium
Lineage: Bacteria
Description: partial 16S ribosomal RNA
Rfam family: Bacterial small subunit ribosomal RNA
Source: RNAcentral